CACGUAGGCGGCUAGGUAAGUCUGAUGUGAAAGCCCUGGACUCAAUCCAGGAAGUGCAUUGGAUACUGCUUAGCUAGAAUGCAGGAGGGGUAAGCGGAAUUCCAGGUGUAGAGGUGAAAUUCGUAGAUAUCUGGAGGAACAACGGUGGCGAAGGCGGCUUACUGGACUGAUAUUGACGCUGAGGUGCGAAAGUGUGGGGAGCAAACG
This 207-nucleotide ribosomal RNA is filed under the name uncultured bacterium. RNAcentral's name for it is "partial 16S ribosomal RNA". It matches the Rfam family "Bacterial small subunit ribosomal RNA", at positions 568 to 774 of the family's 1533-position model. The record is from RNAcentral.